RNAcentral lists this signal recognition particle RNA (99 nucleotides) under Leptospirillum ferrodiazotrophum. RNAcentral describes it as "Bacterial small signal recognition particle RNA". It matches the Rfam family "Bacterial small signal recognition particle RNA". Rfam says of the family: The signal recognition particle (SRP) is a universally conserved ribonucleoprotein involved in the co-translational targeting of proteins to membranes. RNAcentral also lists the same sequence under 2 other names. Lineage: Bacteria; Pseudomonadati; Nitrospirota; Nitrospiria; Nitrospirales; Nitrospiraceae. The record is from Rfam by way of RNAcentral.
CUCCAGGCUCCGGGCAACGGGUUCCCGCAAACCCCGCCAGGUCCGGAAGGAAGCAACGGUAGCGGUGUAUCACGUGUGCCCCGGAUCCCCCUGGGGUCC